AUGAGAUUUAAACAGAAUUCUGGCGGAUCUGAGCUUUACUCACCCCAGCAAUCUGAGGCAGCUGCAACGUGUAAUGUUUAUGUUGUUUCGAUCUGUGGGAGAGAAAAAAAAACCCACUUGAUUCCCUUGAAGGAAACCCUCAAUAGGUGUGUGGCGUCGGGGGUGGGGCGGUGGCUGGAUCUCGGUGCCCCGCGGGGCCUUCCGAACCAGCACGCCCCUCGGAGCGUGGAGGGGAACCGGGCACGUUCUCUGUGGAAGGGGAGGAGGAAGGGCUCAACCCUCCGGACUCGUCCCGCAGCACUUCUAGUUUAUAAGUUAUACCGCACGCAACUCCGGUGCGGGCGACCGACGCCGGACACCGCUGCUCUGGAGACGCCCCAGGCCGCCCCCAGGGCCCGGCCCGGCCGCUCCCUCCCGGAGCGCCUCCGCGCCCCAGACGCCAGGGCAGGCGCAGGCCGAGGGGUCCCCUCUCCGUGCGGCCCUUCGGCUCCCCGCGGCCCCCCUCGGGCAGCCGGCCCGCCGCAGUCGCAGGAGCACCCACCUCUGGCCUACACCGCGGCCAAAGGAUCCGCCACUACUUCAGCUCUCCAAGGAAACGGAGCCACUACGGCGGCAGGCCGACAUUCGCCCGACUUCCGCUUCCGGCGGGCAAGCGCGGGGGCGGGCCUGCCAGGUCUCGCGAGAUCACGGGCGCGCAGUGCGAGUCCCUCCGCGUCUUUGGAGGGCGGGAGGGGGCUGCGUGCGGAGUGUGGCCGGCGGCCCGCGGGAGGGGCGAUGCCGGGGGUGCGCCCUCAGCCCGCGCCCCCCGGGCGGGACACGGCGUCGGGGUGUGUGUGUGUGUGCGCGGUGCCCCCUGGCUGGGCGCCGGGGACCGGUGGGGACGAGCGGGCACAGGCGUUCAGGAAGAGGGCGGCGGUGGCGGCGGGCACGAGCGCAGGGCUUCCAGCCCGGCCGGCCGCGGAGGAGCGCGUCGGACGGAGCGGUCGGCGCUCACUGCCCCUGGGCGGGCGGACCGGCGCGGGAUUCCCAAACGGCUCAUAUCGACCAAGUGAUCAAGAGGCAAAACACAGCAACAGACGUCCCGGGCUAAUCCUAGAAGCUAAAGACUCCUACUUUCAGCAGCUGUGA
Molecule: long non-coding RNA, 1128 nt
Filed under: Vulpes vulpes (red fox)
Lineage: Eukaryota; Metazoa; Chordata; Mammalia; Carnivora; Canidae
Description: lncRNA (ENSVVUG00000005113.1)
Source: RNAcentral